Small nuclear RNA from Callithrix jacchus (white-tufted-ear marmoset), 58 nucleotides. Its record names the gene U7. It matches the Rfam family "U7 small nuclear RNA". From Rfam's summary of the family: Animal histone pre-mRNAs are spliced by a different mechanism than nuclear pre-mRNAs and self-splicing introns. This processing involves the U7 snRNP, which contains only one RNA species: U7. The record is from Ensembl. Lineage: Eukaryota; Metazoa; Chordata; Mammalia; Primates; Cebidae.
CAGUGUUACAACUCUUUCAGAAUUUGUCUAGCAAAUUCUGGUAAAGACUAGAAAGCAA